AUAGGGGAGCCGCAGGGAAACCGAGUCUUAACUGGGCGUUAAGUUGCAGGGUAUAGACCCGAAACCCGGUGAUCUAGCCAUGGGCAGGUUGAAGGUUGGGUAACACUAACUGGAGGACCGAACCGACUAAUGUUGAAAAAUUAGCGGAUGACCUGUGGCUGGGGGUGAAAGGCCAAUCAAACCGGGAGAUAGCUGGUUCUCCCCGAAAGCUAUUUAGGUAGCGCCUCGUGAACUCAUCUCCGGGGGUAGAGCACUGUUUCGGCUAGGGGGCCAUCCCGGCUUACCAACCCGAUGCAAACUGCGAAUACCGGAGAAUGUUAUCACGGGAGACACACGGCGGGUGCUAACGUCCGUCGUGAAGAGGGAAACAACCCAGACCGCCAGCUAAGGUCCCAAAGUCAUGGUUAAGUGGGAAACGAUGUGGGAAGGCCCAGACAGCCAGGAUGUUGGCUUAGAAGCAGCCAUCAUUUAAAGAAAGCGUAAUAGCUCACUGGUCGAGUCGGCCUGCGCGGAAGAUGUAACGGGGCUAAACCAUGCACCGAAGCUGCGGCAGCGACGCUUAUGCGUUGUUGGGUAGGGGAGCGUUCUGUAAGCCGUCGAAGGUGUGCUGUGAGGCAUGCUGGAGGUAUCAGAAGUGCGAAUGCUGACAUAAGUAACGAUAAACAAGGUGAAAAACCUUGUCGCCGGAAGACCAAGGGUUCCUGUUCAACGUUAAUCGGAGCAGGGUGAGUCGACCCCUAAGGCGAGGCCGAAAGGCGUAGUCGAUGGGAAACAGGUUAAUAUUCCUGUACUUGGUGUUACUGCGAAGGGGGGACGGAGAAGGCUAUAUCGGCCGGGCGACGGUUGUCCCGGUUUAAGCGUGUAGGUGUGUGUUCCAGGCAAAUCCGGUUCACUUUACACUGAGGCGUGACGACGAGGCACUACGGUGCUGAAGUGAUAAAUGCCCUGCUUCCAGGAAAAGCCUCUAAGCAUCAGGUAACACAAAAUCGUACCCCAAACCGACACAGGUGGUCAGGUAGAGAAUACCAAGGCGCUUGAGAGAACUCGGGUGAAGGAACUAGGCAAAAUGGUGCCGUAACUUCGGGAGAAGGCACGCUGGCGCGUAGGUGAAGGGACUUGCUCCCGGAGCUGAAGCCAGUCGAAGAUACCAGCUGGCUGCAACUGUUUAUUAAAAACACAGCACUGUGCAAACACGAAAGUGGACGUAUACGGUGUGACGCCUGCCCGGUGCCGGAAGGUUAAUUGAUGGGGUUAUCCGCAAGGAGAAGCUCUUGAUCGAAGCCCCGGUAAACGGCGGCCGUAACUAUAACGGUCCUAAGGUAGCGAAAUUCCUUGUCGGGUAAGUUCCGACCUGCACGAAUGGCGUAAUGAUGGCCAGGCUGUCUCCACCCGAGACUCAGUGAAAUUGAAAUCGCUGUGAAGAUGCAGUGUACCCGCGGCAAGACGGAAAGACCCCGUGAACCUUUACUACAGCUUGACACUGAACACUGAGCCUUGAUGUGUAGGAUAGGUGGGAGGCUUUGAAGCGUGGACGCCAGUCUGCGUGGAGCCGGCCUUGAAAUACCACCCUUUAAUGUUUGGUGUUCUAACGUAGGCCCGU
Molecule: ribosomal RNA, 1600 nt
Filed under: Pantoea ananatis BRT175
Lineage: Bacteria; Pseudomonadati; Pseudomonadota; Gammaproteobacteria; Enterobacterales; Erwiniaceae
Description: bacterial LSU rRNA
Rfam family: Bacterial large subunit ribosomal RNA
Source: RNAcentral